UGUUAAGCCCAAACGACAAGCUUCAGCAACGUUUGUACGCAUUCCUGUGAAAACCGGGAGCUAGCAGGCGAGGGGACUCGGGAUCACAGCCGUCUUUGGUUGGAUCUUGGAAGUUGCCUGAACUUAAGGCGGUGACCACCGUGUGAAUCCGUCUCCAUCCAUAUAGAAACAAUGUGAAGUUUCCUUUGUUUUAUUACAGGCGGGUUAUCGCACUCGGUUUUUCUGGAAAAGAGAUUUCUGCUGACUAGGGGUUGGGGAGGCGGGGCAUAGCGCUCGGUCCCGCCCACGUAACGGUGCCCCCGCGGCUUUGGGAACUCGCGCACGCGCCGUGGCACCAUGCGGCCAGCUCCGCCACUCAGGGCGGGGCCGCGGGGCGUGCGCGUGGGUGUGACGUCACUGCAUGCGCCGCAUCCUGUGGUUUGGCUGCGAUGGCGGCAACUGCGGAGACGUCGGAGGAGGACCCACUACGGAGCUUUGUGCGAGUUUUGGAGAAGCGGGAUGGCACGGUGCUACGCCUGCAGCAGUAUAGCUCCGGUGGCGUGGGUUGCGUUGUCUGGGACGCAGCUAUUGUCCUUUCUAAAUACCUGGAAACACCCGGGUUUUCUGGCGACGGGACGCACCUGCUGAGCCGGCGGUCGGUCCUGGAACUGGGCUCAGGCACCGGAGCCGUGGGACUCAUGGCCGCCACCCUAGGGGCACAUGUUGUAGUCACCGAUCUUGAGGAACUGCAGGACCUGCUGAAGAUGAAUAUUGACAUGAACAAGCAUCUUGUCACUGGUUCUGUUCAAGCCAAGGUACUGAAAUGGGGGGAAGAAAUAGAAGACUUUCCUUCGCCACCAGACUACAUACUGAUGGCCGACUGCAUAUACUAUGAAGAGUCUUUGGAGCCAUUGCUGAAAACCCUAAAAGAUCUCAGUGGAUAUGAGACUUGUAUUAUAUGUUGUUAUGAACAACGAACAAUGGGGAAAAAUCCAGAAAUCGAGAAAAAAUACUUUGAGCUCCUUCAAUUAGACUUUGACUUUGAAAAAAUUCCUUUGGAAAAACAUGAUGAAGAGUAUCGAAGUGAAGAUAUUCAUAUUAUAUACAUAAGAAAGAAAAAAUCGCCAGCCUAGUUGGUGUGAAACAGUGUCUCAUUGCGGUUUUUAUUUUUAUUUCCCUGGCAAUGAGCGAUGAAAUGUCCAUCAUGAAGCUUUUAGCUAUCUUACCCAACCCUUUGACGACCUGGGUAAGCUCAAGAUGUGAAUGGAGCAUGUGAAUUCAGCAUGGGACGAUUGUGUUCACAGAUUUUUUUCCAGCAUGUCUUUAGACAUCCAGUAUAUAGAGGACAACUACCACAAUCUGUGUACAAUACAAAAAAUACCUGCCUGCCCACUGACGGGCCUGAAAUCCAACUGAGGUUUUACUUAGCAUCAGAUUCUGCAUAUAAGAAACACUGGGAAUCAGUUACUCAAAAAUUAGGAUUGGGAUUAGUCUAAAGUCUGCAAAAAAUAAAUAAUGAAGUAGCAUGGUUGACUCAACUUAGUUUCAGAAAACUAAAGAGAACAUUGAUUCAAUUUCAAAGAGAGUUGUCUAUUACAAUAUAAUGUUUUAAAAUUCAGACCAGAAAAUUUUAGUUAUCUUCAAGACAGAUAAAUUUUCAAGUUGCUUCAUUUCUUCUAAGUUAUUUUUUGUACUCAAAUGUUCUUUUACUUUAAAAAAAAUGGGAAUGUUGUCUUGUACACUUACAUUGGCCAAAUUUUUCUUAUUUUCCUCUUCUGAGUAUGUGUAUAUGGUUUAAAUAAUAAAUUGGACUGUGCUGUGCUGCUGAGAAGACAGAUGGAGGGGACAACAAAAGGAUCUUUACAAAGUUUUCCAUUUGUGAAUGGAAUGAGAAUGUAAAGCCUGUUUUCAGGCUUGUGGACUUGAGUGUCUCAUGUACUUUUCUCUUAGGUUUGUCUUACAAGAAAAUAUGGCAAGAAAAAAAAACACUGGUGUUAACUUGCUUACAUGAAACAGGUUUUUUAAUAAUUACAAAUGUUGUUCUGGAUACGCUUCCCAAAUCAUUUUUAUUCUGUCCAUAUCACUUUUGCAUUAUGAUAAUCAUCUGCUCUCACAGGCUCAUCUGUCAAGGACUUGAAUUGCCAGUUCCAAAAAGUAGUAGCCAAACUGAAUUCUGGUAUGCACAGGCAUUGGUGCUAGAUGGCACAUUUUAUGUGUUAAAAUAAACACUGUUUUUGAGA
Non-coding RNA from Oryctolagus cuniculus (rabbit), 2219 nucleotides. NCBI's taxonomy places the organism in Eukaryota, Metazoa, Chordata, Mammalia, Lagomorpha, Leporidae. The record is from RefSeq and is a predicted model, not a curated record.